AGCGAACGUUGGCGGCAUGCCUAACACAUGCAAGUCGAACGAGACCUUCGGGUCUAGUGGCGCACGGGUGCGUAACGCGUGGGAACCUGCCCUUAGGUUCGGAAUAACUCCCCGAAAGGGGUGCUAAUACCGGAUAAUGUCUUCGGACCAAAGAUUUAUCGCCUUUGGAUGGGCCCGCGUUGGAUUAGCUAGUUGGUAGGGUAAAAGCCUACCAAGGCGACGAUCCAUAGCUGGUCUGAGAGGAUGAUCAGCCACACUGGGACUGAGACACGGCCCAGACUCCUACGGGAGGCAGCAGUGGGGAAUAUUGGACAAUGGGCGAAAGCCUGAUCCAGCAAUGCCGCGUGAGUGAUGAAGGCCUUAGGGUUGUAAAGCUCUUUUACCCGGGAUGAUAAUGACAGUACCGGGAGAAUAAGCUCCGGCUAACUCCGUG
RNAcentral lists this ribosomal RNA (433 nucleotides) under uncultured bacterium. RNAcentral describes it as "partial 16S ribosomal RNA". It matches the Rfam family "Bacterial small subunit ribosomal RNA", at positions 29 to 507 of the family's 1533-position model. The record is from RNAcentral.